CUGGUAGUUCAGUUGGUUAGAACGCUAGCCUGUCACGCUAGAGGUCGUGGGUUCGAGCCCCAU
RNAcentral lists this transfer RNA (63 nucleotides) under human gut metagenome. It matches the Rfam family "tRNA", at positions 8 to 63 of the family's 71-position model. Rfam says of the family: Transfer RNA (tRNA) molecules are approximately 80 nucleotides in length. Their secondary structure includes four short double-helical elements and three loops (D, anti-codon, and T loops). The record is from RNAcentral.